UACAGAGGUCUCAAGCGUUGUUCGGAUUCAUUGGGCGUAAAGGGUGCGUAGGCGGCGCAGUAAGUCGGGUGUGAAAUCUCGGGGCUUAACUCCGAAACUGCAUUCGAUACUACCGUGCUUGAGGACUGGAGAGGAGACUGGAAUUUACGGUGUAGCGGUGAAAUGCGUAGAUAUCGUAAGGAAGACCAGUGGCGAAGGCGAGUCUCUGGACAGCAACUGACGCUGAGGCACGAAGGCCAGGGGAGCAAACGGG
Molecule: ribosomal RNA, 253 nt
Filed under: uncultured bacterium
Lineage: Bacteria
Description: partial 16S ribosomal RNA
Rfam family: Bacterial small subunit ribosomal RNA
Source: RNAcentral